RNAcentral lists this unclassified non-coding RNA (340 nucleotides) under soil metagenome. RNAcentral's name for it is "partial contains 5.8S ribosomal RNA, internal transcribed spacer 2, and large subunit ribosomal RNA". The stretch from base 1 to 120 matches the Rfam family "5.8S ribosomal RNA", at positions 35 to 154 of the family's 154-position model. The record is from RNAcentral.
GAUGAAGAACGUAGCGAAAUGCGAUAAGUAGUGUGAAUUGCAGAAUUCAGUGAAUCAUCGAAUCUUUGAACGCACAUUGCGCCCUUUGGUAUUCCAAAGGGCAUGCCUGUUCGAGCGUCAUUUGUACCCUCAAGCUUUGCUUGGUGUUGGGCGUCUUGUCUCUAGCUUUGCUGGAGACUCGCCUUAAAGUAAUUGGCAGCCGGCCUACUGGUUUCGGAGCGCAGCACAAGUCGCACUCUCUAUCAGCAAAGGUCUAGCAUCCAUUAAGCCUUUUUUUCAACUUUUGACCUCGGAUCAGGUAGGGAUACCCGCUGAACUUAAGCAUAUCAUAAGCGGAGGA